RNAcentral lists this ribosomal RNA (460 nucleotides) under uncultured bacterium. Its description in RNAcentral is "partial 16S ribosomal RNA". It matches the Rfam family "Bacterial small subunit ribosomal RNA", at positions 338 to 795 of the family's 1533-position model. The record is from RNAcentral.
CCUACGUGAGGCAGCAGUGAGGAAUAUUGGUCAAUGGGCGCGAGCCUGAACCAGCCAAGUAGCGUGAAGGAUGACUGCCCUACGGGUUUUAAACUUCUUUUAUAAAGGAAUAAAGUGACCCACGUAUGCAUUUUUGUAUUUACUUUAUUAAUAAGGAUCGUCUAACUCCGUGCCAUCAGCCGCGGUAAUACGGAGAAUCCAAGCAUUAUACGGAUUUAUUGGGUUUAAAGGGAUCGUAUAGGGGUUGUUAAGUCAGUUGAGAAAGUGUGCGGCUCAACCUUAAAAUUGCAUGUGAUACUGGCAGUCUUGAGUACAGUUGGGGUAGGCGGAAGUCGUGGUGUAGCGGUGAAAUGCUGAGAUAGCACGAAGAACUCCGAUUGCGAAGGGAGUGUACUAAACUGACACUGACAUUGAUGCGCGAAAGUGUGGGUAUAAAACAGGAUUAGAUACCCUAGUAGUC